CAGCCUGCAUGGCUGGGGCGCUCCCUGUGGAAAUGUCUCCACAGGUGGCAGAUGGUCCGAGAUCGAAUCAACGCUAAAUAUCAACUGUCUGGAAUUGCUGGUGGGAUCGUUCGCAAUUCGCAGCCUGUCUCCAACCCUGGGAAACUGCUGCAUCCUUCUGCGCAUGGACAAUGUGUCCGCAGUCAGGUAUAUAAAUCACCUAGGUGGCACGAAGUCAAAACAACUGGCGAAUCUAGCGAAGGACUUCUGGCAGUUCUGCCUUCACAACGCGGUGUCGGUCACGGCUGAACACAUCCCGGGCUUGGACAACGAAUGGG
Molecule: non-coding RNA, 317 nt
Organism: Pelobates cultripes (western spadefoot toad)
Lineage: Eukaryota; Metazoa; Chordata; Amphibia; Anura; Pelobatidae
Source: the annotation of a GenBank genome assembly